UUUUCUAUCUUGCCCCGUAUUAUCCUUUUUCAUGGUACUGAAGAUUUCACAAUACCACCACAUGCAAGUAUAACUUUUGUGGAGACUCUCAAGAGAAUUGGUGUGCCAGCUGAUCUAAUACUAUACAAAGGAAAAACCCAUACAGAUUUAUUUGUUCAAGAUCCUCUAAGAGGUGGUAAAGACGAGCUAUUUGACUAUAUAGUCGAUUACAUACAUGCUGGUGAUGUUGAUGCGCUUGCUAAGGUUGCUAUUUGA
Helianthus annuus (common sunflower) is the source of this 255-nucleotide long non-coding RNA. RefSeq lists it as uncharacterized. The transcript has 3 exons. Lineage: Eukaryota; Viridiplantae; Streptophyta; Magnoliopsida; Asterales; Asteraceae. The record is from RefSeq and is a predicted model, not a curated record.